GUCCACGCCGUAAACGAUGGAUACUAGCUGUUCGGAGCAAUCUGAGUGGCUAAGCGAAAGUGAUAAGUAUCCCACCUGGGGAGUACGUUCGCAAGAAUGAAACUCAAAGGAAUUGACGGGGGCCCGCACAAGCGGUGGAGCAUGUGGUUUAAUUCGAUGAUACGCGAGGAACCUUACCAAAGGCUUAAAAUGGGAAACGACAGGUUUGGAAACAGAUUUUUCUUCGGACGUUUUUCAAGGUGCUGCAUGGUUGUCGU
RNAcentral lists this ribosomal RNA (257 nucleotides) under uncultured bacterium. Its description in RNAcentral is "partial 16S ribosomal RNA". It matches the Rfam family "Bacterial small subunit ribosomal RNA", at positions 793 to 1055 of the family's 1533-position model. The record is from RNAcentral.